Molecule: ribosomal RNA, 253 nt
Filed under: uncultured bacterium
Lineage: Bacteria
Description: partial 16S ribosomal RNA
Rfam family: Bacterial small subunit ribosomal RNA
Source: RNAcentral
UACAGAGGGUGCGAGCGUUAAUCGGAAUUACUGGGCGUAAAGGGUGCGUAGGUGGUUUUUUAAGUCGUUUGUGAAAUCCCCGGGCUUAACCUGGGCAUGGCGAACGAGACUGGAAGACUAGAGUAGGGUAGAGGGAAGUGGAAUUUCCGGUGUAGCGGUGAAAUGCGUAGAUAUCGGAAGGAACACCAGUGGCGAAGGCGGCUUCCUGGACUCAUACUGACACUGAGGCACGAAAGCGUGGGGAUCAAACAGG